Dreissena polymorpha is the source of this 467-nucleotide long non-coding RNA. RefSeq lists it as uncharacterized. Lineage: Eukaryota; Metazoa; Mollusca; Bivalvia; Myida; Dreissenidae. The record is from RefSeq and is a predicted model, not a curated record. The transcript is spliced from 2 exons.
GCAUUUUUAACCAGGUUUUCCGAAGGAAAAAACUGGUUAUUAGAUUGGCGAAUGCGGGCGGGCUGGCUGGCUGGCUGGCGGGCUGGCUGGCUGGCGGGCUGGCGGAAUAAGCUUGUCCGGGCCAUAACUAUGUCGUUCAUUGUCAGAUUUUAAAAUCAUUUGGCACAUUUGUUCACCAUCAUUGGACGGUGUGUCGCGCGAAAUAAUUACGUCGAUAUCUCCAAGGUCAAGGUCACACUUUGAGUUCAAAGGUCAAAAAUGGCCAUAAAUGAGCUUGUCCUGGCCAUAACUAUGUCAUUCAUUGUGAGAUUUUAAGAUCAUUUGGCACAUUUGUUCACCAUCAUGGGACGGUGUGUCCCACGAAAGAAUCACGUCAAUAUCUCCAAUGUCAAGGUCGCCACGACUAAAAAUAGAUUUAAAAAAAAAAAAAUUACAAAGGGGGUUAAUUUUUUUUGGUCAUUUCAAAA